This 335-nucleotide RNase P RNA is filed under the name Candidatus Gallimonas merdae. Its description in RNAcentral is "Bacterial RNase P class A". It matches the Rfam family "Bacterial RNase P class A". From Rfam's summary of the family: Ribonuclease P (RNase P) is a ubiquitous endoribonuclease, found in archaea, bacteria and eukarya as well as chloroplasts and mitochondria. Its best characterised activity is the generation of mature 5'-ends of tRNAs by cleaving the 5'-leader elements of precursor-tRNAs. Cellular RNase Ps are ribonucleoproteins. Lineage: Bacteria; Bacillati; Bacillota; Clostridia. The record is from RNAcentral.
GAGCGGGCUGCGCGGCCGCGGCGUAUCCUGAAUACGACGAGGAAAGUCCGGGCAUCGCAGGGCAGGACGCCUGAUAACGUCAGGUGAAGGCGACUUCAAGGAAAGUGCAACAGAAAUAGACCGCCGCUUUGAGCGGCAAGGGUGGAAAGGCGAGGCAAGAGCUCACCGACGGGACGGUAACGCCCCGUGCCAUGUAAACCCCGUCCGAUGCAAGGUUGGGCUGUGUUCACACGGGUUGCCCGCCCGAAUGCAGCCGUGAAUACCGCUUGAGCGUAUCGGUGACGGUACGCGUAGAUAAAUGACCGCGCUCGACAGAACCCGGCUUACAGGCCCGU